This 253-nucleotide ribosomal RNA is filed under the name uncultured bacterium. RNAcentral describes it as "partial 16S ribosomal RNA". It matches the Rfam family "Bacterial small subunit ribosomal RNA", at positions 524 to 776 of the family's 1533-position model. The record is from RNAcentral.
GACGAACCUUGCUAACGUUAUUCGGAAUUACUGGGCUUAAAGGGUGCGUAGGCGGUGCGGAAAGUCGGGUGUGAAAUCCCCCAGCUCAACUGGGGAAUUGCGCCUGAAACUACCGUGCUCGAGGAAGGCAGAGGUACGCGGAACUUAGGGUGGAGCGGUGAAAUGCGUUGAUAGCCGAAGGAACAACGGUGGCGAAAGCGGCGUACGGGGUCUUAUCUGACGCUGAGGCACGAAAGCGAGGGUAGCGAACGGG